GGCCAUAUCAAGUUGAAACACUGGUUUUCAUACGAUCCUUGAAGUUAAGCAACGUCAGUCCUGGUUAGUACCUAGAUGGGUGACGACUUGGAAUAC
Molecule: non-coding RNA, 96 nt
Organism: Acanthosepion pharaonis
Lineage: Eukaryota; Metazoa; Mollusca; Cephalopoda; Sepiida; Sepiidae
Source: the annotation of a GenBank genome assembly